AGCCGAAACGCUGGCCGGCCUGGGCCGGCGGGCGUCGUCCGUGGGUGGUUCCGCGGACCUGACGAUGGCAGCCGUUC
RNAcentral lists this non-coding RNA (77 nucleotides) under Planctomycetota bacterium. The record is from RNAcentral. Lineage: Bacteria; Pseudomonadati; Planctomycetota.